UCUCUACGUAGCGGCGAGCGAAGCGAGAAGAGACCAAGAUGAAAAUCUCUUCGGAGAGUUGUAAUCUGGGCAAUGUUGAGUCUUCAGUGAGUGUAAGUCACAUGGAAAUGUGUACCGUGGAGGGUGAGAGUCCCGUCCGGCAUUCACAGGAAUUUCUCGUACGACAUUGUCUCAAUCGAGUCGGGUAGCUUGAGAACGCUGCUCUAAUAGGUGGUAAACUUCAUCUAAGUCUAAAUACUGGUGGGAGACCGAUAGCGAACAAGUACCGUGAGGGAAAGAUGGAAAGCACUUUGAAAAGAGAGUGAAAAGAACCUGAAACUGCCACGGGGGAAGCGGAUUGUAUCAGUGUGGUGCGGUAUCUGUUCAGCAAAUGCAUAUGCGUCAUUGGAUGGUGUGUGAGUUUGUGUAUUCAGAACUAGCCGAGUGGGAAUGGCCGGUCGAAUUUGAGCAAUUGAAUUCAGGCUGGUGAGGGCUCCCUUUUGCGUAAAGGUUGAGGAUUUCCACAAAAUGAUGCGAUUCGACCCGUCUUGAAACACGGACCAAGGAGUUUAGUAUUACUGCGAGUCGAAGAGUGUGAAAACUCAGAGGCGAAGUGAAAGCGAAUACUUGAAAAUCGAAAUGUGAGAAAUUGCAGAUCGAGGAGGUGUUGCGUCAUUGACAAAGUGUCUUACCUGGAGCAGUAAUGCUGAGACCCGAAAGAUGGUGAACUAUGCUUGAGUAGGGCAAAGCCAGAGGAAACUCUGGUGGAGGCUCGCAGCGAUGCUGACGUGCAAAUCGCUCGUCGAACUUGAGUAUAGGGGCGAAAGACUAAUCGAACCAUCUAGUAGCUGGUUCCCUCCGAAGUUUCUCUCAGGAUAGCAGGCUGACAUGAGUAAAUUGUUUUGUGUGGUAAAGCGAAUGAUUAGCGUAUUUGGGAAAGUAAUUUUUUCGGUCGAUUCUCAAACUUUAAAUACGCAAGUAAGAGCGGGUUGCUUAGGUGAACCUCUCGACUGCGGUGGUGGUGUGGUUGUUGUUGUAAAACGCGUAUUGAAAAUGUCGGCUUAGUGGGCCACUUUUGGUAAGCAGAACUGGCGAUAUGGGAUGAACCAUGAGUCUGGUUAAGGCGUCAAAGUAUUGGCUUAAAGAACCCACAAAAGGUGUUGGUUCAUCUAGACAGCAGGACGGUGGCCAUGGANNNNNNNAUCCGCUAAGGAGUGUGUAACAACUCACCUGCCGAAUGAACUAGCCCUGAAAAUGGAUGACGCUUAAGCCGAUUGCCGACACCGGACCGUUUUGGUAAGAAGCGACCAAAAUGAGUAGGAGGGCGUGGCGGUUUUGUAUUGAAGGGUAUGACGCAAGUCUGCCUGGAACGGCCGUUAGUGCAGAUCUUGGUGGUAGUAGCAAAUAUUCAAACGAGAUCCUUGAAGGGUGAAGCGGGGAAGGGUUCCACGCGAACAUUGAUUGGGCGUGGGUGAGUCGUUCCUAAGCCGGGUGGUAAUCGUUCUUUGCGAUCGGCGAAAGGGAAGCGGGUUAAAAUUCUCGCACACGGAUGUGGAGGCGGUGACGCGAAUUGAGGUGGAGACGUUAGCGGUGGCACUAGGCAGAGUUGUCUUUUCUGUUUAACCUAUUCUAGUACUCUGUGGAAUCCGAUUAUCGGGAGAAACAGGUGCGCCUAUGGGAAGAGCGUCGAGGUGUCCUCGGCGUCUAGUAUGCCAUCGAUAGCCCUUGAAAAUCUAUCUGCAAUGUAAUUUCACGCCGUGACGUACCGAUAACCGCAGCAGGUCCCCAAGGUGAACAGCCUCUACUCAAUAUGAACAAUGCAGGUAAGGGAAGUCGGCAAAAUAGACCCGUAACUUUGGGAAAAGGGUUGGCUCUAGUGGGGUGAAGGGAGCGGGCGUGUUUGGUUGUUGUUACUACUUUCUUCUUGCUUUUGUAGUGGGGGGGUGGUGAUGGCGAUCCGACUGCUUGCAGAGAAUGAUUAUGGUGGAUGCUUGCGGAUCGGUGCGAGUUAAAAUUGGUUGCGCGCGAGCUUUGUUAAAUCAAUUGCCGCUCGUGUGUUCGAUCGGUUUUCGACUCAAACUGGACUACCGGAUUUUCGUAACUGUUUUCAUUCGACCUUCAGCNNNNCCGAACUAGAACUGCAACGGGCAAAGGGAAUCCGACUGUUUAAUUAAAACAAAGCAUUGUGAUGGCCGAGGUCGGUGUAGACGCAAUGUGAUUUCUGCUCAGUGCUCUGAAUGUCAAAGUGAAGAGAUUCAAACAAGCGCGGGUAAACAGCGGGAGUAACUAUGACUCUCUUAAGGUAGCCAAAUGCCUCGUCAUCUAAUUAGUGACGCGCAUGAAUGGAUUAACGAGAUUCCUACUGUCCCUAUCUGCUUCUAGCGAAACCACAGCCGAGGGAACGGGCUCGGCGAAAUCGGCGGGGAAAGAAGACCCUGUUGAGCUUGACUCUAUUCUAAUUUUGUGGAACAAGUAAGGAGGUGUAGCAUAGGUGGGAGAUUGUACGUUCCUUGCGGGUGUGCCGUCGUCAAUGAAAUACCACUACUCUUUAUCUUGUUCUACUUAUGGCGUUAAACUGCACGAUCCGUUGCGGUCUAUUAUUUGAAUCAAUUUGGAAUCCAGUGUUUUUGCAGAUGGGUUUGAGCUAUAUGUGCGUAACUUCGAGUUUGCCAUUCAUUCUCAUUAUGUUCUGUGUGUGAUAGUGUUAUCGCUAUUCACUUAAUCCGAAAAGCAGCGCGCCUGACAUAUUUAGGAGGGGAGUUUGGCUGGGGCGGCACAUCUUCUACAAGACAACGAAGGUGUCCAAAGAUAAGCUCAGUGAGAACAGAAAUCUCACGUAGCGCAAAAGGGUAAAAGCUUGUUUGAUUUUGAUUUUCAGUGUGAGUUAAAAACACGAAAGUGUGGCCUAUCGAUCCUUUCAUAUUAUAAUUCGAGGUUUGAAG
This 2921-nucleotide ribosomal RNA is filed under the name Parvicellularium sp. RNAcentral describes it as "LSU rRNA". It matches the Rfam family "Eukaryotic large subunit ribosomal RNA", at positions 76 to 2796 of the family's 3401-position model. Lineage: Eukaryota; Rhodophyta; Florideophyceae; Corallinales; Corallinaceae. The record is from RNAcentral.